RNAcentral lists this ribosomal RNA (515 nucleotides) under Fusarium sp. CBG_III1CCH. Its description in RNAcentral is "eukaryotic LSU rRNA". It matches the Rfam family "Eukaryotic large subunit ribosomal RNA", at positions 76 to 602 of the family's 3401-position model. Lineage: Eukaryota; Fungi; Ascomycota; Sordariomycetes; Hypocreales; Nectriaceae. The record is from RNAcentral.
UGCCCUAGUAACGGCGAGUGAAGCGGCAACAGCUCAAAUUUGAAAUCUGGCUCUCGGGCCCGAGUUGUAAUUUGUAGAGGAUGCUUUUGAUGCGGUGCCUUCCGAGUUCCCUGGAACGGGACGCCAUAGAGGGUGAGAGCCCCGUCUGGUUGGAUACCAAAUCUCUGUAAAGCUCCUUCGACGAGUCGAGUAGUUUGGGAAUGCUGCUCUAAAUGGGAGGUAUAUGUCUUCUAAAGCUAAAUACCGGCCAGAGACCGAUAGCGCACAAGUAGAGUGAUCGAAAGAUGAAAAGCACUUUGAAAAGAGAGUUAAAAAGUACGUGAAAUUGUUGAAAGGGAAGCGUUUAUGACCAGACUUGGGCUUGGUUAAUCAUCUGGGGUUCUCCCAGUGCACUUUUCCAGUCCAGGCCAGCAUCAGUUUUCGCCGGGGGAUAAAGGGUUCGGGGAAUGUGGCUCUCUCCGGGGAGUGUUAUACCCCGUUGCGUAAUACCCUGGCGGGGACUGAGGUUCGCGCUG